This 138-nucleotide non-coding RNA is filed under the name Actinoalloteichus hoggarensis. The record is from RNAcentral. Lineage: Bacteria; Bacillati; Actinomycetota; Actinomycetes; Pseudonocardiales; Pseudonocardiaceae.
CGUCGUCCCUCCACAGGGGACGAAUGCACGACGCCGUUCGACGGGGGAAGCCGGUGGGAGUCCGGCACUGUCCCGCAGCCGUGAGCAUCCGAGUCCUCGGGUGUGAGUCGGAAUGCCCGUCAACGGUUCUGUUCAGCU